Long non-coding RNA from Bacillus rossius redtenbacheri, 3450 nucleotides. RefSeq lists it as uncharacterized. The transcript is spliced from 3 exons. The record is from RefSeq and is a predicted model, not a curated record. Lineage: Eukaryota; Metazoa; Arthropoda; Insecta; Phasmatodea; Bacillidae.
GACAGACGGACAAUGGUAUUGGUUAACCAGUGGCGACGUUGUUUACACUGCUCUAAUCAGUGCAUGCCCUCUCAGUCCGAGGCGUGACGUCAUCUGCUGGCGGGUGCUUGCUUGCAUCUUUGGUCCUCGUUUCGACGCCCGAGAAUUGACAAUAUCUUACAAAAAAAAUCAAUUUCGAAAGCUUUGUGUACAUUUUCUUACCAUGGGUGUACAUGAAAAUUAUGCACGCCGCUGAUAAAAAGCUUAUUUAAGUUGAAAAGCUGUUCAAGGUUUAUUUUACAUUUGUUCCGUUCUCUUUUCUGUUUGUAGUUUCCUUAAGACGUUUUAGGGACAAGUUUGGCGCAUUACAGAAUAGUUUUUUCUCAUCCGUCUCCAAGUAUUUUAUAGAAAACCCCUUUUCCAAACCAGGGUGGAGUUUAGGCAGCACUAGCCAUACUUGUGAUGUGGAUGCUAACGUGUGUUGCAUAGCAUUUUAGGGCGGGUACAGACUAGAACAUUUCAACGGACAGAACAUUGUUCGCGAACAUGUUUGCAACCAAUGUGGACGGGAAAACGAACAUUUCCCCGUAACAAAAAAUGUUCGGUUGUUUGUUCGGUUGCGAUCCGAUAUUUGUCGGUUUUUGCCCGUCACAUCAAAGGAUGUUCGCCGUGGCUCGGAUAACAGUCUGGACGUCGCUGCGAACACUUCCUGCGAACGUUCAGUUGUCGACGUGGAGCGGUGUUGUCUUCACGGAGUUAGUAGCGGUGCGUGACUCUUUUGUUAUAUGAGAAUGGAGUGGUCCAAGGAAGAUCAAAUAAAACUGAUAGAUUUGUAUAAACAACAAACAGUGAUAUGGGACCCAAACAAUGUUAAUCAUUUCAACAAAAUUAGAAAACAAGACGCGUGGGAAGAAAUCGGGGCCGAAAUGGACAGAGAUGUGGACGAAUGUAAGAAGAAAAUGGAGAGUUUGCUAUCAGCAUUAAGAAGGGAGAGGAAGAAAAUGAAAGACACUGCUGGAACUGGAAAAGGAACUGACGAAAUGUACAGAAGUUCCUGGUUCGCUUUCGAAAGUCUACGUUUCUUGCUGGACAAAAAUAAACCAAGAAAGACAAUUUCGACGAUGCGAGUAGAAAGCGAAGAGAGAGACGUAGAAUGUGGUGCAGUUGGAGAAUCAGCACAGGAAACUGUACCGAAAAAGAAGAAGCAGCGAGUCGAAGAUGCACGUCUGGACAAAGCCUUUCAUAUAUUGUCGUCCACCGCGAGUCAGCUUAACGAUGAGUGCCAACAUUUUGGAAAUUUGGUCGCAUCUAAGUUGAGACAGUACAACGUUGAUACUAGAUGUACAAUUGAAAAUGACAUUAUGGGUAUUUUCCUUCGCGCUAACAGGGGUUUCUACAAUAACACUCAGAAUUUUAUACAACCACACUAUCCAUGUCAUUUUCCAUCGGACAACUCUGUCAUGCAGUCAAACACUGUAUUGUCCAACCCUACAACCCCGUGUCCUUCAGCAGGAUCACCUACCUUGACGUCUGAUGAUGAUGAUUUCAUUAUUCACGAUCUCUUAUAAAAUAUUUUUGUUUUAAUUACAGUGCUCCUAAUGAUUUGUAACACAGUGUAAACAACUUUGUCAUUUCUUAUAAAUAAAUGUAGAAAAUUACGUUAAUAAAUCUUUCAAUUACACAGUACCGCAGAAUAAGUCAAUACUUACCUUAAUGUAAUCCUCAAGUCCUUCGAUGAGAGCAGAACACACUUCAGGAAUAACUGUGCUGAUAGUCUGUUUUGAAAUUUUAAAUACAUACUGAAGGCUGGUAUACGAAUCACCAGUUGCUAAAAAACGUAAUGUCAAUGCCAGUCUUUCUGUAAUUGGAAUUGCUUUUCUGAACGACGUAUCUCUCUUACCAAUUUUCGCUCCUAUCAAAUUGAUCAACCACUCAAAAUCUGAUGGGUGCAUUCUUGUAAAGUUCUUGUAAAGACCACUGACUGACUGACUGAAAACUUAACUCUGCCAACAAGUUCGAGCCACUAUAUGUUGUCCUACUUUCAUACAGUUUUGUAAUCCACCAACGGCGAGAUUUCCUUCGCUUUUUAACCGCAUAGUGAAUGUAAAUAUAUACAGCUGCUGCUACUUGCGCCUGUGUACUCAUCGUGCCACUGCUAAGUACGGAAUGGGUCACAGGGAACACACCUCGAACAAUGUUCGCAAACAAUGUUCUUUCGAAAUCUGAACACUGUUCGUAAAAUGUGUCGAACACUGUUCGCUGUUCUGUUCGCUAAAAUGUUCUAGUCUGUACCCGCCUUUACGUACUCCUCUAUCGUCGUUACGUAUUAUUUACGGUUAUCCAGUGUUAUUUUAGAAAUUUUGUAUGUACUAAUGGUGCAAUUAAAUCUCGGUGACUACAUAAGCCGGCUCUUUGGACAGUCCUGUUUGAUUUUUUCGGAGGCAAGCAUGCAAUGUCAGUGUUUUUUUUUUUUUGUUUUGGGGAGGGGGGAAUCUGGCUUGAGAACACUGUCGCUGCGCUGUUGUCACACACGUUCAGGCAAAGCCAUAGCACGAAGGGAAGCCUUCAUUUCACAGAUGAGAGGGCCACACCCGAAGUUCAUGUUUGCUUUUUUUUUUCCGUUCUAUCUUAACAGUAAUUAUAGCAGAAUUUAGUUUAUUUACGAACUUAAACUUAUAUACCAUUUUCUGGAAUUUUUUAGCUCAUCUCCAUUCUGUAAGGCUAGCUGCUCUGUACAUUACAUGUGAAUAUACAGGGAAAAAUUUUUUCCUCGUCAAAAUGGAAUUUAAAAUCACUCCCGUUUUAUUAUCAAACGAUAAUUUUCACAAUUCAUGGCCGAUAAUCACUUUAUAACAUUUGUUAUUUGAUAACUGCAACACUGCACGAGUAAACAGAAGUAAGAAAGAGAAAGAAGUAUUUAAACGUUACACAUUCGUAUUUAAGUUAAUAAGGAAGCAAACACGUCUCUUUAAUACCUAAUCAAGCGGCAUAUUUUAAUUAAAUAAUUCACUGCCAAAAUACUGAUUAUACUAAAUAUAAGCCGAGAAAUGUAUGUGGUUCAAUUAGCUGUAGGAUAAAUUUUAUAGUUUUAUCUCCGAGAUGUUUCAUUUGUGUCAUUAAGUUGUUUUUUCUUUUUUACCUGGUUGAUGCCUUUACUAAAUAAAAUAGUUUUUAAGGGUUUUAAUAUGAUUCGAUCGUUCAUUUGAUGUUGAUCUGUUUAUUAGCUUUGACGCUUUGGGUUUUUAGGGCGCAUCAAAAACUGUGAACAAAAAAAUUCACGAACAGCAUUUGAAUCGCAGUAAUUAUGUGAUGUGGCAUAAAAAAAACCGACACAGUGUGAGUCGAACUCGCGCACGAAGGGUCAUACCAUUAUCUAUAAAAACGGCAAAAAAAACAUGUCUGUUGUAUGGGAGUCCCACUUAAAUAUUUAUUUUAUUUUGUUUUAGUAUUUCUUGUUAUAGCGGCAACAGA